This 304-nucleotide ribosomal RNA is filed under the name uncultured Alphaproteobacteria bacterium. Its description in RNAcentral is "bacterial SSU rRNA". It matches the Rfam family "Bacterial small subunit ribosomal RNA", at positions 31 to 362 of the family's 1533-position model. Lineage: Bacteria; Pseudomonadati; Pseudomonadota; Alphaproteobacteria. The record is from RNAcentral.
GAACGCUGGCGGCACGCUUAACACAUGCAAGUCGAACGGGAUCUUCGGAUCUAGUGGCAGACGGGUGAGUAACGCGUGGGAACCUGCCCAGUAGUAGAGAAUAACUUGAGGAAACUUAAGCUAAUACUUUAUACACCCUUCGGGGAAAAGCUUUAUGCGCUAUUGGAUGGGCCCGCGUUAGAUUAGCUUGUUGGUGAGGUAAUGGCUCACCAAGACUACGAUCUAUAGCUGGUCUGAGAGGAUGAUCAGCCACACUGGGACUGAGACACGGCCCAGACUCCUACGGGAGGCAGCAGUGGAGAAU